UCAUUAGAAAACUUUUAAGUCUAGGUCUUUUAAACCUAAAAUAAGUAGAUUUCUACUUCUAGUG
This 64-nucleotide transfer RNA is filed under the name Gramastacus lacus. RNAcentral's name for it is "tRNA-Lys". Lineage: Eukaryota; Metazoa; Arthropoda; Malacostraca; Decapoda; Parastacidae. The record is from RNAcentral.